UGCGCGCGACGCAUUUGAAUUUCCGAUUGGCUUUCUUCCUGACCUGAAAUUUACUGAAAUUAAAUGAAAUUGAGUGGCUCGCAUAUGUUACAAACCUUUGCCCGGCUCCAUCAAGCAGCGCAGGACCUCUCCAAGCGGAUAUUCCAGUAGCAGUGCCACCACGGCCGCCACAAAUUGAAAGCUGGAUAUGUAGACCGGCUGCCUAAAAUAGCCAGCCACUAUUCUCAGGAUGACAAUGUGCCAAAGAAAGGACUGAAAUGAGAUUCUUGCUAGUGGCCGAAAAACAGGCAGAGUGCAGAAAUCAUAGGCCACUCCUGUCGGAGAUAUCACAUGAGGAACACGAAUCCCGCGCAAAUCAGCAGCCACAAGUUCUUGUGCAGACCCGCAUACAAGGCCAACCAAAGAGAUGGCUUACCAAAGUCGUGGCGGAUGAAGAUGUAGCCGGAAAAAAGGACUCCUAAUGUGGCCAUAACAAGGAGCCACAUGGCCAGUUCGUACUUAAGAAGGCCCCGGAGCACCGCUUUAUUGGAACGCUGCUCGAGCAUGUGGUUCGUCACAAAGAACACGUUCUUCCACCAGUUGGUGCGGCAGAAAACCCGCUCGCCCUCGGUCAUAUGCCGCCAAAAGGGUCCGUUUUGGAUGCGCACCAGGAGAGUUCCAUUGAACAGAAUAAGGGCGACAAGCGAGGGCAGGAGUCUGAAGUAUCUGUUGAAAAACACACGGAAGUACACGGUAAUGCAAUCGAUGGUGCCAGUUGUGGGUUGAAUCAUUUGGCGUUCGGUGAAUUUCACGUAGAGCAGAAAGCCACUCAUCACGAAAAAUAUCUGGAUGACCAGGCUGCCGUUUUGGAAUAUCGAGGUCUCGAACCUGAAGAGGAACUGCUCGUAGUACUCGGGAUUUUCUAUCGGUACCGUCAUGAAGACCAUCAGAGUGUGACCUAGGAUUACAACGAACACGCCAAUCACUCGAAAUCCGUCAAAGAAGCUUAUAUCUCGCGAGAAAUCCGAGUCAUGCGGUUGAGUCAGUCGAUAGUAAUUCCGAAACACAGAAAAGGAGCAGUUAGUAUACACUUACGACGACCGUUUAGAGCCUCCCGAAAGAAGUUUUCAGUUGACUCCGCUUUCUUUUUGCUCAGUCGGUAGUCGUGGACAGAGGAGCACAGAGUUAGAAGGAGGAUACAGACCAGAAGACCGUAAAAGGUCAGAUCAAGUCCAUCUGAGAAAUCCAUUUUACAGGUUUUAAAUUCUUCUCCAAGGGCUUAUCGGCUGGCACACAAUACUCGAUGAGGCUGCGAACACUGAGCGAGAACUUCUCACUGAACUCAAGAUUUAGGCAGUUGUUGACCAAUUCUUCGUGAAGGAGGCGCUCCUCUGCAUCCGCAGUUCGCCGGUGCACUCUGGCGUAAUAAGAGCGGAGUUCCUUAUCCAGGAUAUCUUCUUCCCCGAACUCGCUCGAAUCAGAAAAGCCAUUUAAAGUUUGUUGGCAAGUCUCCAGGCACACGCCCCUAAAGACGCGAUCAUGGCGAAAACGAUGCUUCGAGUCCCGCGAAACUUCGUCGAUUUGGUGCCACAGAGCAGAGCUGGCAUUGGGUAAAAUCUCCACGUAUACCAGGCAGUAUCUACCAAAGGGCCUAUCCAGACAGAGAUCGUAAUCGUCCAGAUAAUGCAGGGCGGGCAUCUGCCUGUAGAGUGUCACUACACAAGGAGCUCUCCCUAAAUAGUCUCUUCAAUAUGGAGUUUCAGCUACUUACAAUUAAAUGGGCCAGAUGUAAAGUUCCCUUGUCCCAAUGAUAGCAUAGUUAAAAGAACACAAAUUCCCAGCCACAGUACCAUAUUCGGAGUGUAUGGCCUAGCACUUGAAGAUCAACUAUUGGAAAUCUUUGCUCGAUUUGCCAUACUAAUUCGGAGAUAGCGUGCUAAGCCGUCAGGCCUGGAUGCGCUCCCCUAAGAUUGCUUUACCCAAGUGUCGACCAGUAAAGAUCGGCAGAUCAAUAUGAGACUUCACGUAGAAAACGAAGGGAUGGUUAGCAAUAAAGUGCUUGCGCCUAAAGCCCGCCACGGCCAUCACCCGGAAUCCUGGGGAGGGACAAUGAAAGCGAUGGAGAACUUUAUACAGUUGGACUUUAUUGAGGCUACAUGCUUGGUUAGUACAAAAAAGUAAAGAGUAAAUACAAGAUCAUUGAUUGUGCGCAGUCUUAAGCUUAUUACAUUUGGUUUUUGAUUAUAGCUUGGAGCUUUAAAGGCCAAGAACCGUUUGGGAUCCGGAAGUCGCCAUUAACGUCAUAUAUGGAGAUGAGACACCCGGAUCGCAUGGUUGGUUAGUUGGAUGUACCCAGGAUUAAAGUUUCUGUAUGCUCCCAGCGAAAAGAGCGGUUGCGUCCUUAUUCAGAAUGUAAAAGUUAAAUGGAUGAUCCACGUAGAAGCGUUUCGGUUCCGGUCGGGCCAUAGGCAUCGAAGUGAGCAUCAUGACCAUACCUGUAAAUCAAGAUGACAGUGGCAUACAGUUCAACGAACGCGAGACCAUUGAUGUAUUUUGAAUGGAAUGAUGAAUGAGAACUGUAUGACUUUUCCCGUAUAUAUAAAUGGAAAGUCCUUUUUGAUUAUGUUAUAGUUAGGAAACUAUAAAGCGAGAAGAGAAACCCAAAUUGUGUGGUUGGUUGGUUAGUAGGAUGUACCCAGGAUUAAAGUUUUUGUAUGCUCCCAGCGAAAAGAACUGUUGCGUCCUUAUUCAGAGUGUAAAAGUUAAAUGGAUGGUCCACGUAGAAACGUUUAGGUUCUGGCUGGACCAUAGGCAUCGAACACCGCAUCAUGACCAUACCUGUAAAUUGAGAUGACAGUGGCUUUCAGUUCAAUGAAAGUGAGACCAUUG
Molecule: long non-coding RNA, 2868 nt
Organism: Drosophila subpulchrella
Lineage: Eukaryota; Metazoa; Arthropoda; Insecta; Diptera; Drosophilidae
Exons: 7
Source: RefSeq, a predicted model, not a curated record